Molecule: unclassified non-coding RNA, 339 nt
Filed under: soil metagenome
Description: partial contains 5.8S ribosomal RNA, internal transcribed spacer 2, and large subunit ribosomal RNA
Rfam family: 5.8S ribosomal RNA (bases 1-120)
Source: RNAcentral
GAUGAAGAACGCACCGAAAUGCGAUACGUAGUGUGAAUUGCAGAAUUCAGUGAAUCAUCGAAUCUUUGAACGCACAUUGCACCUCUCGGUAUUCCGGGAGGUAUGCCUGUUCGAGCGUCAUUUGUACCCUCAAGCUCUGCUUGGUGUUGGGUGUUUGUUCCGCCUCUGUGUGUGAACUCGCCUCAAAACAAUUGGCAGCCGGCGUACUUGUUUCGGAGCGCAGCACAUUUUGCGAUCCAGAUCAACGUACAGCGGCAUCCAAGAAGCCUUAUUUAACGCUCUUGACCUCGGAUCAGGUAGGGAUACCCGCUGAACUUAAGCAUAUCAAUAAGCGGAGGA